CUACGGGAGGCAGCAGUGGGGAAUAUUGCACAAUGGGGGAAACCCUGAUGCAGCGACGCCGCGUGAGCGAAGAAGUAUUUCGGUAUGUAAAGCUCUAUCAGCAGGGAAGAUAAUGACGGUACCUGACUAAGAAGCCCCGGCUAACUACGUGCCAGCAGCCGCGGUAAUACGUAGGGGGCAAGCGUUAUCCGGAUUUACUGGGUGUAAAGGGAGCGUAGACGGCAAGGCAAGUCUGAUGUGAAAACCCAGGGCUUAACCCUGGGACUGCAUUGGAAACUGUCUGGCUCGAGUGCCGGAGAGGUAAGCGGAAUUCCUAGUGUAGCGGUGAAAUGCGUAGAUAUUAGGAAGAACACCAGUGGCGAAGGCGGCUUACUGGACGGUAACUGACGUUGAGGCUCGAAAGCGUGGGG
This 410-nucleotide ribosomal RNA is filed under the name uncultured bacterium. Its description in RNAcentral is "bacterial SSU rRNA". It matches the Rfam family "Bacterial small subunit ribosomal RNA", at positions 339 to 766 of the family's 1533-position model. The record is from RNAcentral.